CUCCCAGACUCCUACGGGAGGCAGCAGUGGGGGAUAUUGCACAAUGGGGGGAACCCUGAUGCAGCGACGCCGCGUGGGUGAAGGAGUGCUUCGGCAUGUAAAGCCCUAUCGGCAGGGAAGAAGCAAGACGGUACCUGACUAAGAAGCCCCGGCUAACUACGUGCCAGCAGCCGCGGUAAUACGUAGGGGGCAAGCGUUAUCCGGAUUUACUGGGUGUAAAGGGGGCGCAGACGGCGAUGCAAGCCAGGAGUGAAAGCCCGGGGCCCAACCCCGGGACUGCUCUUGGAACUGCGUGGCUGGAGUGCAGGAGGGGCAGGCGGAAUUCCUGGUGUAGCGGUGAAAUGCGUAGAUAUUAGGAGGAACACCAGUGGCGAAGGCGGCUUACUGGACUGUAACUGACGUUGAGGCUCGAAAGCGUGGGGAGCAAACAGGAUUAGAUACCCGAGUAU
RNAcentral lists this ribosomal RNA (449 nucleotides) under uncultured bacterium. Its description in RNAcentral is "bacterial SSU rRNA". It matches the Rfam family "Bacterial small subunit ribosomal RNA", at positions 328 to 793 of the family's 1533-position model. The record is from RNAcentral.